AGUGAACGCUGGCGGUAGGCCUAACACAUGCAAGUCGAACGGCAGCACAGUAAGAGCUUGCUCUUACGGGUGGCGAGUGGCGGACGGGUGAGGAAUACAUCGGAAUCUACUUUUUCGUGGGGGAUAACGUAGGGAAACUUACGCUAAUACCGCAUACGACCUACGGGUGAAAGCAGGGGAUCUUCUGACCUUGCGCGAUUGAAUGAGCCGAUGUCGGAUUAGCUAGUUGGCGGGGUAAGGGCCCACCAAGGCGACGAUCCGUAGCUGGUCUGAGGGGAUGAUCAGCCACACUGGAACUGAGACACGGUCCAGACUCCUACGGGAGGCAGCAGUGGGGAAUAUUGGACAAUGGGCGCAAGCCUGAUCCAGCCAUACCGCGUGGGUGAAGAAGGCCUUCGGGUUGUAAAGCCCUUUUGUUGGGAAAGAAAAGCAGCAGGUUAAUACCCCGCUGUUCUGACGGUACCCAAAGAAUAAGCACCGGCUAACUUCGUG
RNAcentral lists this ribosomal RNA (492 nucleotides) under uncultured bacterium. Its description in RNAcentral is "partial 16S ribosomal RNA". It matches the Rfam family "Bacterial small subunit ribosomal RNA", at positions 29 to 507 of the family's 1533-position model. The record is from RNAcentral.